GUUCUUGUAGUUGAAUUUACAACGGUGGUUUUUCAUAUCAUUGGUCAUGGUUGGUAGCCAUGCUGGAACU
This 70-nucleotide transfer RNA is filed under the name Priodontes maximus. RNAcentral describes it as "tRNA-Glu". The record is from RNAcentral. Lineage: Eukaryota; Metazoa; Chordata; Mammalia; Cingulata; Chlamyphoridae.